This is a non-coding RNA of Bubalus bubalis (water buffalo), 72 nucleotides long. The record is from the annotation of a RefSeq genome assembly. NCBI's taxonomy places the organism in Eukaryota, Metazoa, Chordata, Mammalia, Artiodactyla, Bovidae.
UCUCUAGUGGCUCAGUUGGUAAAGUGUCUGCCUGCAAUGCUGAUGACCCAGGUUCAAUCCCUGGGUAGGGAA